AAAAAAAAAGGUUUUGAUUCCAUAUAAUUAACUGGCUUUGUGGAUCUGCCUCGUUCCUAUCGAUCCCCUCCAGCGAGGCGAGCGCUCCCGUUUACUCCAGCACUGCUGCAGGGAGGCCGCUGCCUGCCCCUCCCCGGGCUCAGCCCGCCCUGGCUCGCAUGGCCGAGUUUGGGUCCAAGACAAGUACAGGGAAAGAUUAGAGGCAGAGGACUCGAGCCGCCAGUGGAGAAGGGAGCGGGCAGCCAAGCAGCCGAGCUGCACAGCUGACUGUCAUGAGCUCUGUGCAGACACUUCUCCGCCGUCUCCUCUGCACGCUCAGGAUCCGGCCACGGAGCUGCCGCCCCGCUGCACCCACCCAGCGAUACGUCUUCAUAAACACUGCUGUCCCCAUUUUCCAGCCCAAUAGGAUUAUUUGUGCUAUGCCCAACUCCACCCGCUUCCCCACUGCAGAGCUGUGCGGGAACCCUGGCAGGCGAGCAGGGAUGGUGCCCAAACGGGACAGUGCCCAGCCCGCGGGUUGCAUUUCCCAGCAGUGGGGACUCGGAUCUGGAGGGACAGCAGGAGCCCAAGGGCUGUGAGGUGCCCUCAGCCCCUGCAAAGUACAAAAAGGCCCAGAAGAGAAAAGGGAGGAGCAGCCCCAGGCAACCCCAGCACACCCGUUACAGGACCUGAGGGCGAAGCAACAGAUCUGCCAAGACAAACACAAGCACACACAACUCAUCAAAUCUCCUCACGUACGUGUUCCUCCGGUCCUGAUGCACAGCCCAGCUAGGUUGCUGCCAAGAUUCACCCACAAGGUCUCCAUGGAUGCCUGGAAGCGCACCAAAGUGUAAAUAACAA
Long non-coding RNA from Cygnus olor (mute swan), 840 nucleotides. RefSeq lists it as uncharacterized. The transcript has 2 exons. NCBI's taxonomy places the organism in Eukaryota, Metazoa, Chordata, Aves, Anseriformes, Anatidae. The record is from RefSeq and is a predicted model, not a curated record.